This 385-nucleotide ribosomal RNA is filed under the name Mamiellophyceae sp. Its description in RNAcentral is "partial small subunit ribosomal RNA". It matches the Rfam family "Eukaryotic small subunit ribosomal RNA", at positions 582 to 975 of the family's 1831-position model. The record is from RNAcentral. Lineage: Eukaryota; Viridiplantae; Chlorophyta; Mamiellophyceae.
AUUCCAGCUCCAAUAGCGUAUAUUUAAGUUGUUGCAGUUAAAAAGCUCGUAGUUGGAUUUCGGUUGGAAGCGGCCGGUCCGCCGUUUGGUGUGCACUGGCUGGUUUCAACUUCCUGCCGAGGACGCGCUCCUGGGUUUAACGAUCUGGGACGCGGAGUCGGCGUGGUUACUUUGAAAAAAUUAGAGUGUUCAAAGCGGGCUUACGCUUGAAUAUAUUAGCAUGGAAUAACACUAUAGGACUCCUGUGCUAUUUCGUUGGUUGUGUACUGAGGUAAUGAUUAAUAGGGAUAGUUGGGGGUAUUCAUAUUUGAUUGUCAGAGGUGAAAUUCUUGGAUUUUUCAAAGAUGAACAAGUGCGAAAGCAUUUACCAAGGAUGUUUUCAUCA